Small nucleolar RNA from Otolemur garnettii (small-eared galago), 104 nucleotides. The record is from Ensembl. NCBI's taxonomy places the organism in Eukaryota, Metazoa, Chordata, Mammalia, Primates, Galagidae.
AUCCUUUUCUAGUUCAUAAUCACAACGAUUGGGUUUCCAUGCUCACGCGUGAGUUCUAUCUCCCUCCAAUCUUGUUACGACAUUGGUACAUUACCCGUCUGCUG